Molecule: ribosomal RNA, 274 nt
Filed under: uncultured bacterium
Lineage: Bacteria
Description: partial 16S ribosomal RNA
Rfam family: Bacterial small subunit ribosomal RNA
Source: RNAcentral
AUACGGAGGGUGCAAGCGUUAUUCGGAAUCACUUGGCGUAAAGGACGCGUAGGCGGGUUGGCAAGUCAGAUGUGAAAUCCUACAGCUUAACUGUAGAACUGCAUUUGAAACUCCUAACCUAGAGUAUGGGAGGGGGAGAUGGAAUUAGUGGUGUAGGGGUAAAAUCCGUAGAUAUCACUAGGAAUACCGAAAGCGAAGGCGAUCUCCUGGAACAUAACUGACGCUAAGGCGUGAAAGCGUGGGGAGCAAACAGGAUUAGAAACCCUAGUAGUCC